Molecule: ribosomal RNA, 78 nt
Filed under: Geobacillus sp. 44C
Lineage: Bacteria; Bacillati; Bacillota; Bacilli; Caryophanales; Anoxybacillaceae
Description: partial 16S ribosomal RNA
Rfam family: Bacterial small subunit ribosomal RNA
Source: RNAcentral
UUUCUUUUUGGAGAGUUUGAUCCUGGCUCAGGACGAACGCUGGCGGCGUGCCUAAUACAUGCAAGUCGAGCGGACCGA